CUUACAUGUAUGAUUUAUCAAAAAACUAUGAAUAUUGAUUAUUGUUUGAUAAAAUUGCAAUUUAUAAUUUUUUAUUAAUUAUAAUUUUACUAUUUAAAUUUCAGCCUCACUUGGGGGGUUGGGAGGGUAUGUUUGGGUGGUGGUGAUGGCUUAGUGAUAAUUCCCAAUUUUGGCUACAAAUGAUGACACAAAAUUAUGUAUACUGCCGAAUAGUGAAAUGAUUAACUCGUUACUAUGGUAAUCCAUGCAAAUAUGUUUUGAAUUUUGAUUAGUGGGACUAAACCGAUGCAUAGCAAGUCCAAUUUGAAAUGUUAAUUCUGUAUAUGUCCAUUUCUCUUUUUUGUCCCCAUUCUUUCACCUAUUCUUCUUAUUUACUCAAAUUGCAUAUGCUUUGCUCACACCAUCAAUGUUUUUCUUGCUUCUCUUUGCUUCUUCAAUGUCUUGGUUGAUUCUCGCAGAACUGUUUGGUCUGUUACAAUUAUUUUUUGUUCAAUAUGCUAGAUUGCUUUAUUUUCUAUUCCCUUUCCAUUUCCUAAAAUAUUAGAGUUGACACAAGUGAAAUGUCCAUUUAGUACAGUGAAAAAUUCCAAUCGACAAUUAUAUGAAAAGCUCCUUGCUUGGAGUUAUGUUGUUUGCUAUCCUCUUCUGGCCAAAAGUUAAUAUGCCUGUGUUCCCACACAUAUGCACAUAAACAUAUCUCUUCUAAAUAGAUAUUUUGUUUUGGUCAGAUCUGUUGUUAUGAUGUUCAGAUAAUUGCUAGGUUCGACUGCUUUUAACCAUACCAUGCUACUGGCAAACUGAUGUCUUGAAAACCCUGCAUCAUGGGACUUAGAUUUAUUGUGGAAUUGCAAUUUAAAAUUGCAUCGACUUUGAUUUAUUGUAGAAUUACAUUUUAAAAUCGCAUUCUCAUUAACUUAAUUUUGUAAAUCUGAGCCUGAUGUUGUUUCUACGUUUUGGAUCAUACUAAUGUGUUGUUUUUCAUCUAUAGUUUGACUCUUUCGAGUCUACUGAAAAUCUUCCUGACACCUUGGACAUUGGGGAUGUCUCUGAAUCUGGAUCUUCAGCUGAGUGUUCAUCUGUUAAACUAAAGAAUGUUGUGGGUGAAGCCAGCGCCUCUUCAUCCAGUUCCGCCCCCUCAGAGUCAGUCACUGUCACCUGAUAGACUUGGUGAUUGUUCAGUUCUUCUUCUUUGGUUUUCUUAAAUUUGUGGAUAACAAGUAUAUAAGUAGGAAAUAUUUCAUUUGAGAUGGGAGAGAUUUGCAUAUAUUGCUUGGAUAUGGUUGUGUAGUUCUGAGGUGCUUGUUCCCACUAUACCCUUUUACUUCUUCUGGGUUGUGUCUACCAUGGGUGAAAAGCCCCUUUGAGCGAUAACCAUGUAGGUUAUAAGUAUAAUUCUGAAAUGGAAGUGAUAUUUGGCUUCAUGACAAUGUUUUUUAUUUUGACACGCUUUGC
This 1452-nucleotide unclassified non-coding RNA is filed under the name Hevea brasiliensis (rubber tree). The record is from RNAcentral. Lineage: Eukaryota; Viridiplantae; Streptophyta; Magnoliopsida; Malpighiales; Euphorbiaceae.